This 505-nucleotide ribosomal RNA is filed under the name uncultured bacterium. Its description in RNAcentral is "partial 16S ribosomal RNA". It matches the Rfam family "Bacterial small subunit ribosomal RNA", at positions 28 to 507 of the family's 1533-position model. The record is from RNAcentral.
GACGAACGCUGGCGGCGUGCCUAAUACAUGCAAGUAGAACGCACAGUUUAUACCGUAGCUUGCUACACCAUAGACUGUGAGUUGCGAACGGGUGAGUAACGCGUAGGUAACCUGCCUGGUAGCGGGGGAUAACUAUUGGAAACGAUAGCUAAUACCGCAUAAUAUUAAUUAUUGCAUGAUAAUUAAUUGAAAGGUGCAAUUGCACCACUACCAGAUGGACCUGCGUUGUAUUAGCUAGUAGGUGAGGUAACGGCUCACCUAGGCGACGAUACAUAGCCGAACUGCGAGGGUGAUCGGCCACCCUGGGACUGAGACACGGCCCAGACUGCUACGGGAGGCAGCAGUAGGGAAUCGUGGGCAAUGGACGAAAGUCUGACCGAGCAACGCCGAGUGAGUGAAGAAGGGUGUCGGAUCGUAAAGCUCGGUUGUCAGAGAAGAAAGGGUGUGAGAGUGGAAAGUUCACACUGUGACGGUAUCUUACCAGAAAGGGACGGCUAACUACGUG